RNAcentral lists this ribosomal RNA (497 nucleotides) under uncultured bacterium. RNAcentral's name for it is "partial 16S ribosomal RNA". It matches the Rfam family "Bacterial small subunit ribosomal RNA", at positions 28 to 507 of the family's 1533-position model. The record is from RNAcentral.
GAUGAACGCUGGCGGCGUGCCUAAUACAUGCAAGUCGAGCGAACGGACGAGAAGCUUGCUUUUCUGAUGUUAGCGGCGGACGGGUGAGUAACACGUGGAUAACCUACCUAUAAGACUGGGAUAACUUCGGGAAACCGGAGCUAAUACCGGAUAAUAUUUUGAACCGCAUGGUUCAAAAGUGAAAGACGGUCUUGCUGUCACUUAUAGAUGGAUCCGCGCUGCAUUAGCUAGUUGGUAAGGUAACGGCUUACCAAGGCAACGAUGCAUAGCCGACCUGAGAGGGUGAUCGGCCACACUGGAACUGAGACACGGUCCAGACUCCUACGGGAGUCAGCAGUAGGGAAUCUUCCGCAAUGGGCGAAAGCCUGACGGAGCAACGCCGCGUGAGUUAUGAAGGUCUUCGGAUCGUAAAACUCUGUUAUUAGGGAAGAACAUAUGUGUAAGUAACUGUGCACAUCUUGACGGUACCUAAUCAGAAAGCCACGGCUAACUACGUG